Oncorhynchus tshawytscha (Chinook salmon) is the source of this 612-nucleotide long non-coding RNA. RefSeq lists it as uncharacterized. The transcript is spliced from 3 exons. NCBI's taxonomy places the organism in Eukaryota, Metazoa, Chordata, Actinopteri, Salmoniformes, Salmonidae. The record is from RefSeq and is a predicted model, not a curated record.
CCCAAAUGGCACCCAAUGUUAUGGGCCCUGGUCUAAAGUAGUGCACUAUAACGGGAAUAGGGUGCCAUUUGGGAUGAUUCGUUGGUGAAUGUGCGCUGUCCCUGUCAAAUCAAUUUCCCAAAUAAACAGGUAGACCUGGAGCUGAUGCCAUGCUGUCUAUCUAACUAAAUAAACAGGUAGACCUGGAGCUGAUGCCAUGCUGUCUAUCUAACUAAAUAAACAGGUAGACCUGGAGCUGAUGCCAUGCUGUCUAUCUAACUAAAUAAACAGGUAGACCUGGAGCUGAUGCCUUGCUGUCUAUCUAACUAAAUAAACAGGUAGACCUGGAGCUGAUGCCAUGCUGUCUAUCUAACUAAAUAAACAGGUAGACCUGGAGCUGAUGCCAUGCUGUCUAUCUAACUAAAUAAACAGGUAGACCUGGAGCUGAUGCCAUGCUGUCUAUCUAACUAAAUAAACAGGUAGACCUGGAGCUGAUGCCAUGCUGUCUAUCUAACUAAAUAAACAGGUAGACCUGGAGCUGAUGCCUUGCUGUCUAUCUAACUAAAUAAACAGGUAGACCUGGAGCUGAUGCCAUGCUGUCUAUCUAACUAAAUAAACAGGUAGACCUGGAGC